UUUUAUUUUCCUGUUCUUUGCUUCUUUUUUUUUUAACCAUCAUUCUGGCUAAUAUAAUAAUUACUUACCUAACACAAUCUAGCAAAGAUAAGACACAGAAAGAAAUUGCUGAUUGUAAACAUCUAAACAUCCACUAAGCGUACUGCUUUAUAAAAAGGCAGCUCUUCAAUGCCGGUGGCAUAGAAACCUGUAGGGGGGAAGAAAUCCAAAGACCUCGCUCUCUGCUGGCCCCAAGUCCUGGCAAGAGUCGAUGUCUCUGGGAGCUGCUGAGGCCAGAGGACGGCUGUCUUAGCAGCUCCCCGCUCCCGCCCACUGACCCCAUGCCGGCAGACAAGUCCCUUGAACAGAUUGCGCCAGUCUGGUGCCAGGUAAUUGCCUCUCAAUUCCUGUUUCUGCAGAUCCCCUGCUUCCUGCGGGACUGCGGGCUGUGCACUUUCCUGCCCAAGCUCAAGUACAAGCUCCAGGUUGUCGGGAAGCCUUCCACGGCCUGCAGCCCCACCGAGUAGAUUCCCGACGAGCUCAAGCUGCAGGCUGCCCUGGUUCAGUAAGGAUCGGUUAAACGAAGAAUUAAACAGAAGGAAGUCAACUAUCUCACAAGGAAAACUAACGUUUUUAGCUCAAUCCACAUGUCAGCUCUGGAUCAUUUCCAACACUUGCACUUAAUUCAGCAGACUGAACCCUCCACUGUUUUUGAGCAAGGAUAUGGUCUGGACGCAGAUAUAAUCAAACCAGUUCCACUUCCUACACUGAACAUCGCCGUGCUACACUUGACAACCGAAAGCAUUCAUUUGGACUUGCCCUUUCAAUGCACCCCUACUGCUACACAUUGCACACUGUUUCUUUGCGGCCUUCUUUCAGAACUCCUGAAUCCAUUCCUGACUUUGUCAAAAGAAUCCUUCUCUUGGUACCCAGACUGAUUGCUGUGUGCCCCCUUACUUGGGAAACAUUUCAGGGGUUAACCUCGCACCAUAGGACAAAGUCUCAACGUCUCUAAAUAGAAGACAAGUCAGCCAUGGACUGUCCCUUGCCAUCUCUCCAUUCACAACUACCACUCUUUUUACCUCAUUUUAAUAGUAGGCAAUGAAACUGAAAGAUAGAGAAAACUACAGGAAACAUCUAUGUAACCACCACAAAGAUGGAAGAGAUGUUAAGGUUUUCCUCUAUUUGCUGUAAACCUACUGUAAACUUUAUCUUCCAUUCUUUCUUCUCUUAACUUCUCCCAACCAUUCAUAGUAUCGAAGGUUAGAGGCUUGCUUUAAUACUUCUAUGUUGCAUGUCUAUGAAUAAAUAAAAAAAUAAACUAUACA
RNAcentral lists this long non-coding RNA (1307 nucleotides) under Oryctolagus cuniculus (rabbit). RNAcentral describes it as "lncRNA (ENSOCUG00000035085.1)". Lineage: Eukaryota; Metazoa; Chordata; Mammalia; Lagomorpha; Leporidae. The record is from RNAcentral.